UAGUUGUUAAGCGGAGAAGACUAAAUGAGCUAAUUGGGGUUAGAUGCUUAGCACGACACCUGCCAUCUAGGACAUGUGCCUUCAACAGAAACUAGCAGCCAGAAGUGGUGGUGAUAAUGUGCGGCCAUCUCAGCCAGCACCAAAGUGAGAGGCCAAAGGUUCAGAAAACUGUUCAGGAGGAUGCAUGUAGGCACACCCCCCAGAGCGAACCACUUUCUGGAGUCCUCAGCGCACUAGCUUCACCCCAGGGCUUUCCUAGGGGAUACUAAAGACACUGCGGGACUCCUGGGAUCUGCAGCUGUGACCCUCUCCCCAACUAGGCCCCCACCUCAGUGGAAGCAAAGGUAGUUUCCCAAAGGGCUAACAGGGUAAGUGACAUUCUAUCACAAGGUGUGGGUCCCAAAACCAUUAGUGCAUCAUCCCAUGUAUGAAGGCUAGAUGAGGGUGUUCUGGAAAACAACCGAAUUGCUGUUCAUCCAUACUUAGUCUUUAUAUUUUAAUAGGAGGCAAAGCCCUGAGUCCAGAGAAACUCUAUUAAUGUAGGCUUUCAGGCAGUUUGGAUACAAAGAAAUUACCCUUGAUUGAGAGAAGAGGGGCGUUGGGAGCCACACCACCAAGAUGGUGCAAGGGGCAUUGGUCAUGCAGCUGGCCAACAUCAGAGCCCACUAGAGGACCCUCUUGCUGCCAGGGACCAGGGAAAGUGGGCGUCUGAAUCUGGAGCUGUCAUCACAAAAUAGAAAGGUGGUGAAGAAUUCAUUCCAGCCCUGCCCAUGGCAGUCACAGCCACUUUCAGAGGAGCAGCACCAGAUGUGGGGUGCGGCACUCUAUGGUGGGGGCAGUGGGAGCUCAGUCACCAGGGUUUGGCAGCAUCCCCGGUGGCAUCCACUGAGUAGGGUGUAGUUUCCAGGAACCAGAGCAUGCGAUUCUCAAGGCUUUGGGUUUUACCCAUGGGUCAAGCUGCAGCUGCCCCCAGAGAAUGACAGUGAUUCUCCUUCUUCGCCUCCCAAUUCUCCCAGCAGUGCCUCUCAUUGGCUGACUCUAAUGUGAAGCUGUACAGGGAAAGGGAUUCUGGGAAAUGCAGUUCCAGGCUUCUCCCCUGAGAUGCAGACUGUAGAAGUGUGUGACCAUGAUGCUAAGGACAACAUUCAGCAAAGCCACAAACCAGGAAGAGCAGAGAGAUUUUAUCUGAAGGGCCAGCUCCUGGUUCAUUGGUAAUGGCUGACCAGAGUACUGUGUGGAAAAUAAUUUUGAGGCUGUAUAUAGGAUGAGCAGGAAAAGGUGGUACGACUGAUUAGCAAUGCCUGUCAUGGGUGUGGAAUUAAUGUGAGGAAUCGUAUGCAACACACUUGCACUCCUGCUCUAAACUGAUGAUUGGAAAGUUCUCUAAAGUGACUGCUAACAGCGUUUAUUUCUUUUGUCCCUGAGUCAAACAUAUACGUUGUAACCAUCUAUGUGUGGAGUUAACACCCAUAAACCUGGUGCUCAAGAGGGACCUCAGAAUUAGAGCAGCUAAUGAAAAACAGGGCAGGAACAUUGAGGAAGCCGUGGGGGUCUCCAGCCUCCUGGAACUCUGCUCUUCACAGUCCACACAGUCACGUUCCUCAAGGUCAUCAUGUGGUCAGCUCUUUCAUAACCACCCCCAAUCCCCUGUCCUUAUCUCAUUUCACUUCUAAGCUUCCAGGCCCAGCUCCUCCAGGCCUACCACGUGAUCUUAGAGAAGCCUUCCCCCACCCCAUCUCCAGUUAAUUACUUCCCCUCUCUGUACCUUGGUUUCCUCAUGGGCAUAUUUAGGAGUUGGGUUAGAUCCAUGGUUUGCAGACUGUGUGCCCAGGAGCCCUGGGGUGUUCAGGAGGAGGAAGGUUAGAGGAAUGCCAAGGCAUAGGGCUUUGAGAGGCAUUAUUUUAUCUGUUUUAGAUAUUGUGCUUUGGCUUAAGAUGUCAUCUGAAAAAAAAGGGAAAAGGGUCUGCUGCUAUAAAUAAAAAUUAAAGGCUCAAGAACCUCUGGAUAAACAAAAGGCCCCCCUGGAGUCCUUCCAGAUAUACCAUUCUCUGGUGCUGCUUGUUUUGUCUCCCUCUAAAACACCAGCUCUUCUUCUCUUUCCACUUCCUUUCCUCAUUUCUUUUCCCAUCCCCUGUCUUCCAAAGAAAUGAGUUGCAAAUCUCCAUCUUAACUUCCAAACUUGAGUUGAGAACCAAACAUGAAGCCUGGAUCUUUUCAUUAUGAGAGGCUCUGAGGUCAUGGAAAGGAGAAGGGGACGAUAAAGCCAAGACGGAGUCUUGCUCUGUCGCCCUGGCUGGAGUCAGUGGUUCAAUCUCGGCUCACUGCAAUCUCCACCUCCCGGGUUGAAGCGAUUCUCCUGCCUCAGCCUCCCGAGUAGCUGGGAUUACAGGUGCCCACCACCACGCCCGGCUAAUUUUCGUAUUUUUAGUAGAGACGGAGUUUCACCAUGUUGGUCUGGCUGGUCUUGAACUCCUGACCUCAGGUGAUCCACGCAUCUCAGUCUCCCAAAGUGCUAGGAUUACAGGCGUGAGCCACCACGCCUGGCGUGUAAUCCUUUUUUAUAAUUGAAAAUCACAUUGAACCAUGGAAAAUGUAGUUUGACAUCCUAGAGUUGAGAGAUAUUCACCCUUUCCCUCCUCUUAACUGUGCAGCGCAAAAUUUCGAGAAAUGAGAACAUGCUGCUUUGAGUUGUUGUUUUUAAUGUCACUGCGAUGACUGGACAGUUUUUAUUAUUGUUGGCAAGAAAAGGCAGGAGGAACCAUUCACAUAGGGUUUUCUGCUCAAAAUGUACUUUGGAGUUCCAUCUUGGGGAAUAGGAACCCUUCUGUUCCUCUUCCCGCUGCAGUUUCACCGAGGUCCCACUGAUGUCAACUCCAGAGGACUAUGACCGUGUCAGCCGUAAAAUAUGUCGGUUCGGGAAGAGGACAAGUUCAUUUUCAUUAUUCCCUGGCGGAGAGAAAGGGCAGAGUUGGUGUGAGGCCUGGGAGGGCGUGUUUGAAGAAUGGUGGCCCGAGUCCACCAUUCCACGCCUGCUCUGCGGGGUCCUCUGGCUGGGGUCUUGCCUGGACGUGGCAGAAACCCGCACCCAACGGCCUUUCUCUGCACAAGUUGGGGCAGGACGGCCAGGCAGACACAGAGCAUGCACAGACCUCGCCUGCUGAUUGGCUGAAUCCUGGGGGCAGCACAUUCUCCCAUUGGCUGUUCCA
This 3206-nucleotide long non-coding RNA is filed under the name Homo sapiens (human). RNAcentral describes it as "non-protein coding lnc-VTI1A-6:1". Lineage: Eukaryota; Metazoa; Chordata; Mammalia; Primates; Hominidae. The record is from RNAcentral.